Molecule: transfer RNA, 94 nt
Filed under: Actinoalloteichus hoggarensis
Lineage: Bacteria; Bacillati; Actinomycetota; Actinomycetes; Pseudonocardiales; Pseudonocardiaceae
Description: tRNA-Ala
Source: RNAcentral
ACGACGGGUCGCCGAGUGCGGGUCGCCACGCGUCUGCGUUGCGUGUGCGCGACGACCCAGGUCGGCGACGCGAGUUCGCGUCCCGUCCGCGGUC